UUUCCGUAGGUGAACCUGCGGAAGGAUUAUUACUGAGUGAGGGCCCCUCGGGGUCCAACCUCCCACCCGUGUUUAACGAACCUUGUUGCUUCGGCGGGCCCGCCUCACGGCCGCCGGGGGGCAUUUGCCCCCGGGCCCGCGCCCGCCGAAGCCACCUGUGAACGCUGUCUGAAGUAUGCAGUCUGAGACAAUUAUUAAAUUAAUUAAAACUUUCAACAACGGAUCUCUUGGUUCCG
This 236-nucleotide unclassified non-coding RNA is filed under the name plant metagenome. RNAcentral's name for it is "partial contains small subunit ribosomal RNA, internal transcribed spacer 1, and 5.8S ribosomal RNA". The record is from RNAcentral.